CCUGCGCUGCAUUGAUAGUUCGUAAUAAAUUCACAUAAAAACACACCAGAAGAUCUCCGAUUUUAUUUACAAAGAUCAUAUUUUGUUAUUUAUUGAUAAAACAAGCCAUUUUACCACAGCAGGUGACACAUAUUAGGCCUGAAUAAGACUUUAGAAUUUGAAGUGGUGGUGACGAUGCCGAUAUCCAAGAUGGCGGAAUUAUACCAGUGGUCAAAUCUCAUCUAUUUUGGUUAGACUUCGAGAUCUACAUUUUCGACAAAGGCCUGGUGUAAUAUUAUUACGUACUUGAUGAAGGUUUAAUGACACGAAUGAGUACAAGUACAUUACAUUUUUCGACGAAGGCCUUCUGUAAUUUCAUACGCUUCUUACGCAACAUUCAAUAGAUUUAUUUACUGUAUUAUCAUUUCGACCAAGGCGAAUUCGACACUUCAAUUACACAAGCACAAUCAAACUUAGUCAUUCCAGUCAGUUACUGAAGCACAGUGAAAACUGUCGGGAGCAGUGCAACUGAUGGCAUGUCAAACUUCCAGUGACUGUCCCUGUCCAUAUAUUUCAAGACAGUACAAAUCUUGUAAUCAUUUUGUUUAUGCAAUGUACGUUAUUAUGUAUCAUUUCAGCACAAUCAAACUUAGUCAUUCCAGUCAGUUACUGAAGCACAGCGAAAACUGUCUGAAUUAGUGCUGCUGAUGGCAUGUAAUUACUCUACUACCACUACCAGUGGCAGUCAAUGUCCAAAUAUUUUCAAGUGUGCGAAAUUAGUACUCGUCUACUUCUUAGUGUUAUUUGAAUGCAAUGUAUGUUAUAAAAAUAUUUUUUCAACACUAUAUCAACAUUCUCAUUCCUGUCAGUUUCUGAAAAUCAGCUAAAGCAAUCGCUACCAAUGCAGCUGAUAACAGCAAUUCUUUUUGUUCCCAAUGCCCAUCCAUGACAAUAUAUUUCACGCAUGUGACAAUCAUGUAAUCAUCCUGUUUUUUGUGUUCUAUUCAUGCAAUAAAUAAAUUCAGUAUUUUCAAAUCAUUGGUGCUACAAAACUAUUCUCAUUAUAGAUUAUUCAUAUUUUAUAAAAUGCUGUCAUGUCAAAUUUUGUGUCCUAUAAAUCAUAAUGAAGUCGGCAUUUUAUAUACAACUUUUGUACUCCUCCUAAAUAAACAUACAAAUCUUGUUUUAUGUAAACUUUGUAUAUGUGACCCGUCACAGCAAAACCAGGCGCAUGUCGCUCUGAGCUUGGCAGGUUGAGACGGACUGUUCUAAUCUUUCAUUAGCGACACCAUUUCUUACCAGAGUGCCUCCUUCAUUCAUACAUCUUGUACUCUAACUCAAGAUACCCAUCUUUGAAUAUUUUUAGUAUACCAAGUACUACAAUGUCAAUGUAUUGAAGUCAUGUUCUUGUAGUGUUAUUGGCUUUCCAUUAUCUUGUCAAAAUACCACUUGGUUCUCGCAAAAUCUCAAUAAAAACAAAUGCUAUUGCAUGUAUUGCAUAUUCUAACAGCUAUCCACUGUAUCGAUUUAUCCAUCAUCUGUACUAUUUGUCACAAAAAUGUUAUAUUAUGUAAAUCAUAUUUCAUUACAUAAUGCACACUGCCAAUUACUGCUGAACCAUUCAUAUGUCAUUUAAAUAAAUAAUUUUCAACUUUUUAAAACCGUCUUAUAGUACUGUUCUUGUCACUUAGCUGAACCAAUUGCUCUAUAGCAUGAAAUUUCCAGAAAUGCCCCAGGGACUGAAAAGUGCUGUUUUAACAGAGAGGUGUCCUAAACUGAGAAGUCGAG
Molecule: long non-coding RNA, 1767 nt
Organism: Lineus longissimus
Lineage: Eukaryota; Metazoa; Nemertea; Pilidiophora; Heteronemertea; Lineidae
Exons: 5
Source: RefSeq, a predicted model, not a curated record